UAGGGAAUCUUCGGCAAUGGGGGCAACCCUGACCGAGCAACGCCGCGUGAGUGAAGAAGGUUUUCGGAUCGUAAAGCUCUGUUGUAAGAGAAGAACGUGUGUGAGAGUGGAAAGUUCACACAGUGACGGUAACUUACCAGAAAGGGACGGCUAACUACCUGCCAGCAGCCGCGGUAAUACGUAGGUCCCGAGCGUUGUCCGGAUUUAUUGGGCGUAAAGCGAGCGCAGGCGGUUUAAUAAGUCUGAAGUUAAAGGCAGUGGCUUAACCAUUGUUCGCUUUGGAAACUGUUAAACUUGAGUGCAGAAGGGGAGAGUGGAAUUCCAUGUGUAGCGGUGAAAUGCGUAGAUAUAUGGAGGAACACCGGUGGCGAAAGCGGCUCUCUGGUCUGUAACUGACGCUGAGGCUCGAAAGCGUGGGGAGCAAACAGG
This 429-nucleotide ribosomal RNA is filed under the name bacterium. Its description in RNAcentral is "partial 16S ribosomal RNA". It matches the Rfam family "Bacterial small subunit ribosomal RNA", at positions 355 to 776 of the family's 1533-position model. The record is from RNAcentral.